This 901-nucleotide long non-coding RNA is filed under the name Setaria viridis. Its description in RNAcentral is "long non-coding RNA (SVIR_LNC008377)". The record is from RNAcentral. Lineage: Eukaryota; Viridiplantae; Streptophyta; Magnoliopsida; Poales; Poaceae.
UGCUCUGUAUGCCUGUUAUCCAAUAAUAGACUGCUACAACAAAAGGCAAAACUGCUCAAGCAUCAUAAGCUCAACCUGGGAAAAAUUAUGUCUCCUUCAAUAUUAUUUAUGUUCUAUAGAUUAUAUUUUUUUAACCAAACAUUGCUAUCCUCAAGUAAAAACUAAUGCAUUCUUAAUGUUGUUUUCACUGUAGGGGAAAAAGGAACCAACAGGAACUUCAAAGAAAAAAAAACGAAGUUCAUACACGUAUACCUGCUAUCCACAUCUAUAUACUCCCUCCGUUUUUAUUUAGAAGGCGCACCCGCAUAUCAAAACUCAAACUUUGUAAGUUUUGACGAAUAAUUUGACUAUUAAUUUUUUUAUUUUUUUAAUGUAAACUUUAUAUGGUUGGAUUCGUAAUCAAAUAUACUCUACUAUGAUUAUAACUUUAUAACCAUAAACAAUAUAAGAUAAGAUAAAUGAAUGGUUUGGAAGACCGUUUCAAGCAAUACCAUGCCUUAUAAACAUAGAUGGGGAGAGUAUUUGUGUGCACUACUGAUUGCUUCGUGAAUUCUUCUGCUCAAUGUGUUGAGUUUAUAUAUAGUAUCGACAGUGCAUAUAUCUUUACUGAGCUCUUACAUAAUAAAUUGAUAUCAAAUGAAGUGCAGUAUCGAUAUCAUCUGUAGGAAGAGAUGUUUAAAACAUUAGGGAUCAGUUAAUAUCUACAAACAACCAUGAAGACAUGAUAAAUUAUCAACGAUGAGUCACAUUCAGACCAACAAACUCAAAAGAUUGUUCUGCAGUGUUCCUCACUUAAAAAAAACUCGACUGGCGGGAGAAAGACCGUCCCAUGGUAUUGCACUAAGAAGAAAUCUUAGCCAAUCUGAUCGAGAAAACCCGCGAACCCUGGCUUCACCCUAUA